Molecule: long non-coding RNA, 1370 nt
Organism: Cyprinus carpio carpio
Lineage: Eukaryota; Metazoa; Chordata; Actinopteri; Cypriniformes; Cyprinidae
Source: Ensembl
GACAAAACAGCGAGAUUCGGGAAGUGUCCGACUUCAAAGGUCUUUUUUGACCCCUCCCCUUACUGCAGCUGCCUACUCUCACCUACAUUUCCAACACAGCAAGGCGCAUCUCAAACAAGCCUUUUGUUUUCCUCGCGCAGAAGUGAUUAACCGCGCGCGCAAGCAUCAGUUGUACGCUCGGUUAUUAAUGGCAGUGAAAUGCCGCCAUAGUGAUGUGGGUUCACUGUGUGUGAGAGAGAACAUGAUCUUUACGCUAUUUAUAUGUUACAGUGUCUUAAUGAUUGUAACUGAAGGAGCAUCAGUGAAAGUUCAUCCAGGAGGAAACACAACACUUCCCUGUAGCAUUAAAAAUGAUACAGAGAUUAACUGGAUCAUUACGAAUGGAAACCAAACAUUUGUAAGAAUUCUGAAACUAGAAUAUCUUUAUGGAGGUAAAUUUAAACCAGAGCCCUCCAUUAUUCACCCCAGUUAUGCAGGUCGGAUAACAGCACUCAUUUCUCCCAUAAACACUCACUCUCUGCUUCUGAUGAACAUCUCUGACACUGAUCUCAUGCUCUACUGCUGCAUGGACUUCACACUUGAACAAUCUCACUGCACAAAGCUGGACUAUCAAGGUUGUGGAAAAACUAAUAACCUGAACCAGGACUGGAUUCACAAUAGUGUUAAGGGUAAAAUGGGACAAGAUGAUUGGACACUGGUUGAAGUUUUGUAUACACCGAUACCUUAAUUGAUUAUUUCAAAAUUCUUUUAUUCACUUAUCUUCACCUUUUGUCUUUAAUACAAUGUGUCUCUUUGAUAAUCAGAGUAGUUUUAUAACCCCUGUUUUCAGAUGUACUUCAAUGUGCAGAUGCAGAUGUGCAGAUUGCUAUGAAUUGUAACACUUAACUGUUUAUGUCAAUGCUUUAUGUCAAUACUUUAAAUAUCUAACUUAUGUACAUGAAUAAUGACAAUACUUGCAAUGGCCUAUACUGUUGCAUUUUAUUGUGACUAUAAGGUAUCAAAAAGCUCCUCUCUCACAGCAGCCUUUUCACAGUGUUUCCUGUCUCUGAUUGUAGACUAAAUUUAGCUCUUGUGCCAGCAAUUACAAAAGCAAGUCGUCUCACACACAAUGAACAGAGACACUCUUUUUAGAGAAAUACUUCUAAUAAAUUGAUAGCAGAAUUGAAAUAAAGAUUUAAGAAGCUUUAUUUUUGGAUGCAUUUUCUUAUGGGUGUUUGAAGCAGUGACUUUGGUGGACAUGUCCUAAACUUUUUAUGUUAGACAUUAUGUUCAGUAACUGUUAACUACAUCCUGUUUUUCACUGCUGAUGAUGGUUGUUUAUGACCACAUAUAGCACUUUACCACAAUGAACCACUAAUGGGUGAAAUGAG